Long non-coding RNA from Rosa rugosa (rugosa rose), 1683 nucleotides. RefSeq lists it as uncharacterized. The transcript has 2 exons. The record is from RefSeq and is a predicted model, not a curated record. Lineage: Eukaryota; Viridiplantae; Streptophyta; Magnoliopsida; Rosales; Rosaceae.
CUCUAUGUGUAAUGCGUUAAACAUGACAUGAUUGACUAGCUUUCUAGGGUUUGAUUGCAUGUUUGAUAGGAUUAAUCUAGGUGCUUUCGCUUAGGUUAAUUAGCAUUGAAAAGUAAAAAAUGGGAAUUCAUUUGCUUUCGAAUGUUUCACAUGAUCAACUCCUUUCUCAUGACUUAGAUGAACAAUAUUAGGGUUUGAAUCAAUUUUAAUCAUAAGUUUCGGUUUUGAUCUUUGUUCUCUCAUUCCAUUCGUAUUUUUAUGUUUUUGCAUUUUAAUUGUUUUGUUAACCUAGUUUUAUUUUCGAAAAACCAAAAACAAAAUCCCCCCUUUUCGUGUAAAAUGUUUAUAGUUGUGAAUAUAUUUGUGAAUAUUAUACUUUGUUUUAAUUUUAAUUGUUUAAUUGUUUGAUAAUGACAGGUGUACCCUCAAUCCCCGGAAUAGAACGAUCCCUAUUUGCUUAUACUACUAACGAUAUUUUCAGGGUUAAAUUGCGCGCUUGCAAAUAGCGUUAUCACCAACCAGGAAAUCCUGUUCGAAAGAGGAAAUUGUGUGAAGCAAAACUCUGAAGCCCAUUGAGAUGUUGAUAGGAGCAUUUUAAAGUGGUACAUUGGAGUAAAUGAUGGUGAAAUGAGCAUUAGGUCCACACUUACCUAUAAAUGGUGGAGAAAAAUGGAAAUGUACUAAAAUGUCAAUUUUACACAUUUUCCUACUCCGGCUAGGAGAAACCAAGCCAAGCAAGGAAGAAGGAGCGGCCGCCUGACCAAAUGAACUCUAAAUGAGCUGAAACUUUCCAGAUCCAUUCUAGACAUCCUAAGGAUCAUUUCUUAUGAAGAGUGCCAGAGCUAGUUUUGAGUGGAAGGCCUUCAAACAGUCAGCCCAAUUUCCUGCAGAAGCAAAACUGGAAAACUGGACCCGUAAGGAGUCCAACAGAGAUUCUGGCCCAAAGGCAUGGAAAUAAAUUCUGAAAUUUUACCAAAAUGAUCUACACUCAUGGUAGAUCAUUUCAUAUGAAGAAGUCACGAGCCAAAUCUGAAGUCCUGUUGGAGAAAUAAUUGAAGGAAUAAAGGGGCAGAAACUGAUCUAAAAACAGCUCAACACCACAUGUUCAAGUUUCCUACCCACAUGAAGAAAGCUAGAUGCUUUUCUCUUUUUCCUUGGAUAUAUUUUUCUGCUCCAAUAGAUCAUCAUCACUUCCAUACUUCUGCACCUUCAUGCCUUGCUUUCAUUUCAUCAUUACUCCAUCUUUUCCAUAUUUUACAAACCACUUUCAUUAUUUUUCUUCCAUUUAUCAUUUCACUCUUCUUUUUCUUCCCUAUAUAAACACCUUCUCCUCUCAUUCUAAGGACAUUCCUUCAUCCAUUCCAUCUUCUUUGUCUCUCCAUUUCCUUUCCAUUUUCCUUUCCAACAUCCUCUAGGGCAAGCCACGAAGUUCAAGCAAGGCCAAGGAAGAGAAGAACCAAGCCGUGAGCAUCAUCAUCCAUCCUCCACCUUUGAAGCUUGCUUUCGAGUCUCAAAGGAUUCAACGUUAUUCACCCAUCUUCAUCUUCCAUCCACGGUGUAAUUCGACCUCUACUUUGUAACCUUUGCUUUGUAUUUCGUUGGUUUUGCCUUAGUUGACAUAUAUGUUUGAACAAUUGUUAAUUUCUGGAAUUUUAUGAUUAAUUGAGAAUUUUCAGAUUCAUA